Molecule: long non-coding RNA, 621 nt
Organism: Cebus imitator (Panamanian white-faced capuchin)
Lineage: Eukaryota; Metazoa; Chordata; Mammalia; Primates; Cebidae
Exons: 4
Source: RefSeq, a predicted model, not a curated record
GGAUCUUGAGGCCCAGACAUGUCAGAUAACUUGCCUAAGGUCACACAGCUAGGAGGUGGUGGAUCUGCUAAAACUGCAUUGACGGCGUGUGAAAGACAGUAAGACUUUAUUUAGGGGAAGGAUUAAAAGGUCAAAAUGUUGAAAAGCUCUGCAGUGUGGGAGGUGGUGAAGGAAAGGCAUUGGAGGUCUUGGCUCUUCUGAUUCAGAAGAUUUUGGCAAGCAAGGCCCAUCAGACCAAAGAGAUGUGAUUUUUGGACCAUACCUGAGAUUUGCCCGGAGAAGUGCCUCCCUGACUUUGCACGUCCUGUCUGCUGGGAGACACAGGGCACGGUACGUUCCCCACCAUGUGGCCACCUGUCUCUGUGACCGUUCCACUGUCACUAGAACGAGAGGACCUGUGCCUGCCAAGCUCCAAAGGCGGCUCAUCGUGAGCGGCAAGGUAAUUUCACAGAAGCGAUGUGCACGGUGAGUGAACUGCUGCGUCUUCUACACGCCUUCACACUACUCCCGCACUCAUGCACGCACACACCUGCUGCAGGGGAACCCCACCGCUGAAGUCCAUCCUCCACCCCCCAAGGGAGCCCAAGUUUGUUCAAAAAACAAACUGCACGUCAAAAAGAA